This 497-nucleotide ribosomal RNA is filed under the name uncultured bacterium. RNAcentral describes it as "partial 16S ribosomal RNA". It matches the Rfam family "Bacterial small subunit ribosomal RNA", at positions 28 to 507 of the family's 1533-position model. The record is from RNAcentral.
GAUGAACGCUGGCGGCGUGCCUAAUACAUGCAAGUCGAGCGAACGGACGAGAAGCUUGCUUUUCUGAUGUUAGCGGCGGACGGGUGAGUAACACGUGGAUAACCUACCUAUAAGACUGGGAUAACUUCGGGAAACCGGAGCUAAUACCGGAUAAUAUUUUGAACCGCAUGGUUCAAAAGUGAAAGACGGUCUUGCUGUCACUUAUAGAUGGAUCCGCGCUGCAUUAGCUAGUUGGUAAGGUAACGGCUUACCAAGGCAACGAUGCAUAGCCGACCUGAGAGGGUGAUCGGCCACACUGGAAAUGAGACACGGUCCAGACUCCUACGGGAGGCAGCAGUAGGGAAUCUUCCGCAAUGGGCGAAAGCCUGACGGAGCAACGCCGCGUGAGUGAUGAAGGUCUUCGGAUCGUAAAACUCUGUUAUUAGGGAAGAACAUAUGUGUAAGUAACUGUGCACAUCUUGACGGUACCUAAUCAGAAAGCCACGGAUAACUACGUG